This 874-nucleotide long non-coding RNA is filed under the name Helianthus annuus (common sunflower). Lineage: Eukaryota; Viridiplantae; Streptophyta; Magnoliopsida; Asterales; Asteraceae. The record is from RNAcentral.
AAUCAACAAAAGCAAAGGAGCUAUUACCAUACUCAAUUGAACUGUUUCAAAACGUAUCAUGGAAGCCUUAACCAAACGUAAAGCGCGUAAUUCGAUGCAUUUACGGUGAUUAAAGAUGAAGUUACAAGCAUUGGAUGGGAUGUUGCAGCCCAAGAAUGAAUGUCGAAGCUUGUUCGGGUGAUACAAAGGCUUACGAGUGAAAGGAGUGUGAAAAAGCAAAGUUCAGGGACUAAUUCGGUACUUUAUGAAAGUUGUGUGGAGCUUAGAUAUGCAAAAAUCAAGGAGUAAUAAAGUUCGAGGGUCAUUUGGCAAUUAAUGGAAAGUUAUAAUAUAGUGGACAUGUGAGAAGAAUGAAGAAACAAACUAGAAGGGGCCAAUAUGUAAGUUGUUGAAAGAUGUUACGUAGAAAGGCAAGGAACAGAGAUCACAAACUGUAAGCUAUGGUUUCUGUUCGUAGCUUACGAGUUGUUUGUGCCAUUUGGAAUUUUGGGACAGAAAUUUCACACUGUAAGCUACGAGCUACAACUCGUAGCUUACGGUUUGGUAACAAUGUUUGGGCAGAAUUUUUAAAACGUAGCCUACGAGUUGAGUUGUAGCCUACGACUUGGAAAGAAAAAAAAAGACGCAUGUGAGGAUUUGGGGCCCACGAGUUUGAAUGGACGACUAGGUUUGAAAAGAAAAAAAAAGUCAACAGAGGGCAGCCGUCAAUUUCUUUUGUUUGUUGGGUUGGAAGCCGGGAUUGAGAAGGACAUCAUCAUCACAUCGUACAACAUCUUUUGACAUCAGAAUCAUUCAUCAUCAGAAAAAGGAAGGAACAUUUAUUUCUUUUGGGAAGAGAGCCGCACACAUCAUCUCGAUCAUCAUCAAUUGUUCU